This 503-nucleotide long non-coding RNA is filed under the name Drosophila guanche. Lineage: Eukaryota; Metazoa; Arthropoda; Insecta; Diptera; Drosophilidae. The record is from RNAcentral.
AUGGAAAGGUGCAUUAUGGCCUCUAGAAAGGAAGGUUAAUGCCUUAAAAUCCUUCACCGAUUUCUCUGCGUUGAAGAUAGAUAUAACUGUUUCCUGAUCUUGAAAGAUUGUGCCGCUGAAUGAAAUGACAAGAGUUAUCAAUGCUUUCGACGUCCAAUAGCACCAUUCAAGAAACCAGAAUUCGAACACGAAACUGCGUGACUGAACAUGAUUACCAAGGUAAAAUAAUGUACCAAAAAGCGAGUGUUUCCAUGAAUAAUAUGCUUUCGCGAGGCCGAGCUUGGUUUCUUUUUCGAGUUGAAAGGGUACACUCAUACUCACGUUCAAACUUUAAACCUGUGAAGCCUAAUUAAAAUUGGAGAUCAAGUUCUUCCAUUUGACGCAACGAAGUAACCUUGGUCUCCAAUAGUAGUUUUCAACAGUCACACUCUCUUCAUUAUUCUCUAAGACCUGAGGGCAUGUAUUGGCACGCUACCUUCUGGUACUCGUGAACAUGUACGCCA